GAUGAACGCUGGCGGCGUGCUUAACACAUUGCAAGUCGAGCGAGAAGGUAUUAGAGGAAGCUUUCGGUGGAAUUUGAUACUGGGAAGCGGCGGACGGGUGAGUAACGCGUGGGCAACCUACCAAAUGCAGAGGGAUAGCCACUGGAAACGGUGAAUAAUACCGCAUGAGGAUGUAGUGUCGCAUGACACAGCAUUCAAAACUGAGGUGGCAUUUGAUGGGCCCGCGUCUGAUUAGCUAGUUGGUGAGAUAACAGCUCACCAAGGCGACGAUCAGUAGCCGACCUGAGAGGGUGAUCGGCCACACUGGAACUGAGAGACGGUCCAGACUCCUACGGGAGGCAGCAGUGGGGGAUAUUGCACAAUGGGCGAAAGCCUGAUGCAGCAACGCCGCGUGAGCGAAGAAGGCCUUCGGGUUGUAAAGCUCUGAUCUGAGGGAAGAAGAAGUGACGGUACCUCAGGAGAAAGCCCAGGCUAACUACGUGCCAGCAGCCGCGGUAAUACGUAGGGGGCAAGCGUUAUCCGGAAUCACUGGGCGUAAAGGGAGUGUAGGCGGCCUAUCAAGUCAGAGGUAAAAGGCAACGGCUCAACCGUUGUAAGCCUUUGAAACUGGUAAGCUUGAGUGCAGGAGAGGAAAGUGGAAUUCCUAGUGUAGCGGUGAAAUGCGUAGAUAUUAGGAGGAACACCGGUGGCGAAGGCGACUUUCUGGACUGUAACUGACGCUGAGGCUCGAAAGCGUGGGUAGCGAACAGGAUUAGAUACCCUGGUAGUCCACGCUGUAAACGAUGAAUACUAGGUGUUGGGAGUCAAAUCUCGGUGCCGUAGCAAACGCAAUAAGUAUUCCGCCUGGGGAGUACGCACGCAAGUGUGAAACUCAAAGGAAUUGACGGGGACCCGCACAAGCAGCGGAGCAUGUGGUUUAAUUCGAAGCAACGCGAAGAACCUUACCAGGUCUUGACAUCCUAAUGACGAUGCUUUAAUGAGCAUUUUCCUUUCGGGGACAUUAGAGACAGGUGGUGCAUGGUUGUCGUCAGCUCGUGUCGUGAGAUGUUGGGUUAAGUCCCGCAACGAGCGCAACCCUUAUUUUUAGUUGCCAUCAGGUGAAGCUGGGCACUCUAAAGAGACUGCCAUGGAGAACAUGGAGGAAGGUGGGGAUGACGUCAAAUCAUCAUGCCCCUUACGAUCUGGGCUACACACGUGCUACGAAUGGUCGGUACGAACGGAGCAGCGAGAGAGUGACCUUUAGCGAAAUCCUAAGAAAGCCGAUCUCGAGUUCGGAUUGAAGAGCUGCAACUCGCCUUUAUGAAGCUGGAGUUGCUAGUUAAUCGCGGAUUCAGAAUGUCGCGGUGAAAUGCGUUUCCCGGGUCU
RNAcentral lists this ribosomal RNA (1365 nucleotides) under uncultured bacterium. Its description in RNAcentral is "bacterial SSU rRNA". It matches the Rfam family "Bacterial small subunit ribosomal RNA", at positions 28 to 1381 of the family's 1533-position model. The record is from RNAcentral.